RNAcentral lists this small RNA (135 nucleotides) under Micromonospora rhizosphaerae. RNAcentral describes it as "c-di-AMP sequence". It matches the Rfam family "c-di-AMP riboswitch aptamer (ydaO/yuaA leader)". From Rfam's summary of the family: This family represents a conserved RNA structure found upstream of the ydaO and yuaA genes in Bacillus subtilis and related genes in other bacteria. The ydaO/yuaA element is thought to act as a genetic "off" switch for the ydaO and yuaA genes in its native state. The record is from Rfam by way of RNAcentral. Lineage: Bacteria; Bacillati; Actinomycetota; Actinomycetes; Micromonosporales; Micromonosporaceae.
CGGUGGCCGUCGCCUAAUCGCCCGCCUGCGGCGAGCCGGGGAACCACGUUCGUGGGGUGCAUCCGCCUCAGCGCGGUAGGGAUCUUCCGUCCCGAACCCGUCAGCUAACCCGGUCGGCGGCUGACGGAAGGACAC